Molecule: ribosomal RNA, 494 nt
Filed under: uncultured bacterium
Lineage: Bacteria
Description: bacterial SSU rRNA
Rfam family: Bacterial small subunit ribosomal RNA
Source: RNAcentral
AGUGAACGCUGGCGGCAGGCCUAAUACAUGCAAGUCGAACGGCAGCACAGUGGAGCUUGCUCCAUGGGUGGCGAGUGGCGGACGGGUGAGGAAUACAUGGGAAUCUGCCCAGUCGUGGGGGAUAACGUAUGGAAACGUACGCUAAUACCGCAUGCGCCCUUCGGGGGAAAGUCGGGGACCGCAAGGCCUGACGCGAUUGGAUGAGCCCAUGUUCGAUUAGCUAGUUGGCGGGGUAACGGCCCACCAAGGCGACGAUCGAUAGCUGGUCUGAGAGGAUGAUCAGCCACACUGGAACUGAGACACGGGUCCAGACUCCUACGGGAGCAGCAGUAGGGAAUAUUGGACAAUGGGCGCAAGCCUGAUCCAGCCAUGCCGCGUGAGUGAAGAAGGCCCUCGGGUUGUAAACGCUUCUUUUGUUGGGGAAGAAAAGGCAGUUGGUUAAAUACCCGAUUGGUUCUGUACGGUACCAAAGAAUAAGCACCGGCUAACUUCGU